UACGGGGGGGGCAAGCGUUGUUCGGAAUUACUGGGCGUAAAGGGCGCGUAGGCGGUUUCGGAAGUCAUGGGUGAAAGCCCCGGGCUCAACUCGGGAAUGGCCUGUGAAACCACGGGACUGGAGUGCUGGAGAGGGAAGUGGAAUUCCCAGUGUAGCGGUGAAAUGCGUAGAUAUUGGGAGGAACACCGGAGGCGAAGGCGGCUUCCUGGACAGACACUGACGCUGAGGCGCGAAAGCCAGGGGAG
Molecule: ribosomal RNA, 245 nt
Filed under: uncultured Acidobacterium sp.
Lineage: Bacteria; Pseudomonadati; Acidobacteriota; Terriglobia; Terriglobales; Acidobacteriaceae
Description: partial 16S ribosomal RNA
Rfam family: Bacterial small subunit ribosomal RNA
Source: RNAcentral